Molecule: long non-coding RNA, 1815 nt
Filed under: Mus spicilegus (steppe mouse)
Lineage: Eukaryota; Metazoa; Chordata; Mammalia; Rodentia; Muridae
Description: lncRNA (ENSMSIG00000028846.1)
Source: RNAcentral
AAAAAAAAAACAUUCAGGCCAUUUGGUAAGUCUCUAAGUGGUUGAUGUCAGGUUUGUUUGUUGUUUGUUUGUUUUGUUUUCUUAGAACAACUAGAACUAGAUGAAAAUAGAGCAUGUAUGAAUCAAAUCCAAGCCCUUGUGCACCCAAAGAUAAGUGACUAAGGAGGCAGUCAGUCACUUCAGUCCUGUAGGUUGUCACUUGAGGUUUUCUACUAUCUUAAUAGUAGACUAUUUUCUAUUUUAAUAGUACUCCUAUUCUAGUCUAUUAUUUAAUGUAUAUCUACCCCAUCUGGUUCUUCCAACUCCAACGCUUCUUGAUGUUAGAGCAACACCGUACACAGUAAGCACAGACGUGCAUAGACACUCGUUAUUCUGGCUUAAUGAGUUUCCUAAGGGUGGGGAUUGCUCUUCAUUGUAAGAUAAUGUUAAUGUUACCUGUCAACUUGCAAACCGUGCACGAUAACUGAGGUUGAGCAACUCACACUAAAGGAAACGUAUGCCAGUCAUAUACUUUUAAAAGGAGUUUUGCGAUCGUCUGUAUAUACUUUCCGUUUUGUUUUCCCAGGUCUUUCUAAGGCUCCGCGUCUCGGCCUGCUAGGAGUCAGUCGAGUGCUUGCUCUGAUUUAAUAAAAAGCAGAGGCUGUCCUGUGGAAGCUCUGCUGACUUUCUCACUUGUCCCAGGACUGCUGAAGCUGCCAUUUCAUGAAUAUGGAAUAUCAUUCUACACAGAGAUACAUCUGCACCACGUGUUCCUUCAGGCUCAACACAUCCAGGUUCCAGUCAUUGGAACCUGUGAAUGUUACUUAAUAAAAUAAAAGACACUGCAGGCUGUCACUAAGUGAAGAUCCUGAGACAAGCGAAGUUUCAGAAAUUUUCCAGGUGGGCUCCAAGUACAGCCAUUCGUGUUCCUUAGAGAGGAAGGAAGGGGGAGAUUUGAUGCAGAAGAUGGUCAUGUGACCCGACAGGCACAUCCUAUCCUGGCUCUUUAGAAAGGGAGGGAGGAGCCAGGAGUCAAGGCAGGUAGCUCCCUUAAAAAUGUCAGUCUCCUGAAGUUCUCCCAAGCAAGGACAGCCUGACCUCCUCCUACAAAGACUCUCAAUGAAACUCUCCAGGCUUCUGGGAUACAAUAUGGAACUCUAAGGGAGUAAAAUUUGUUGUUUGAAGCCAACGAGCUUCUCACCAUUCAUUAAAGUAGAAACAGGAAAAAAAAAAAAAAGCAGCCACAUUUGCUUAAAGGGUUGGGUGGUUGCCCACCGACUGUAAAACUGCAACCCUCUCUGCUCUCUCCCCGACCUCUCUGAUUCUAUGCUUGGUCCAUUUUUAGUCACAUGAAUGUCAGACUUUUGCCAGUUUCUGUUUUGGCAAAACAGAGUUUGUUAAAUGAGGCAAUGUCAGCCUCAUUAGUGAAUGAGGAGAGAAUAUUAUUCUCUAUAUAACACACUGAACAAAUACCUUUACACAGGGAGUGUGAAAAAGAACAUGUUUCAGAUAGGAACUGAAGAGUAUUGAAGUUUCAAAUACUCUGAAAUGAAUGGGUAAGCCAAGAGCAGGAAGAAACGAAUUCAUGGUUUUGAUUUGUUUUAUUGGUGAAAUAUGUUGAGUUGUGGUUGGGCGUGGGAGUGGAUACCUACAGCUCUGAACUGAAAUUUUUCCACUGCCCCUCCCCUUUAUCCAUUUUGUUGGGACUUCUGUAGGGAAUAAGAGUUCAAGGACAGGAGAGAUUGGGAUGAAUCCUUUGGGGCCAGAAGCCCUGAAGUAAACCAGUAAAUCUUGACGUCUUCACAGUUUUGUUUUUCCAUGAGAAUGUAACAACAU